GAUGAACGCUGGCGGCGUGCCUAAUACAUGCAAGUCGAGCGAACAGAUGAGGAGCUUGCUCCUCUGACGUUAGCGGCGGACGGGUGAGUAACACGUGGAUAACCUACCUAUAAGACUGGGAUAACUUCGGGAAACCGGAGCUAAUACCGGAUAAUAUAUUGAACCGCAUGGUUCAAUAGUGAAAGACGGUUUUGCUGUCACUUAUAGAUGGAUCCGCGCCGCAUUAGCUAGUUGGUAAGGUAACGGCUUACCAAGGCAACGAUGCGUAGCCGACCUGAGAGGUGAAUGGGCCACCUGGAACCUGGGCACGGGCCCGACACCCUACGGGGGGCAGCAGUAGGGAACUUUCCCAAAGGGGCAAAAGCCGGACGGGGCAACGCGGCGGGAGUGAGGAAGGCCUUCGGUUCGUAAAACCUGUUUAUUAGGAAAGAACAAAGUUGUAAGUAACGAUGCACGUCUGGACGGAACCUAACCAGAAAGCCACGGCUAACUACGU
This 496-nucleotide ribosomal RNA is filed under the name uncultured bacterium. RNAcentral's name for it is "partial 16S ribosomal RNA". It matches the Rfam family "Bacterial small subunit ribosomal RNA", at positions 28 to 506 of the family's 1533-position model. The record is from RNAcentral.